Molecule: unclassified non-coding RNA, 171 nt
Filed under: rhizosphere metagenome
Description: partial ribosomal RNA internal transcribed spacer region
Source: RNAcentral
GAGUGAGGGUCUCCGGGCCCGACCUCCAACCCCAUGUUAACCGACCCUGUUGCCUCGGGGGCGACCCGGCCUUCGGGCCAGGGCCCCCGAUGGACCUCAUAACACUGCAUCUUUGCAUCCGAGUCAAUAUUUGAAUAAAUCAAAACUUUCAACAACGGAUCUCUUGGUUCU